This 127-nucleotide non-coding RNA is filed under the name Podiceps cristatus (great crested grebe). The record is from RNAcentral. Lineage: Eukaryota; Metazoa; Chordata; Aves; Podicipediformes; Podicipedidae.
GUGUUGUGCAAAAGGAGGGAGGUUAGCCCUCUUCUUCCUAAGGCUAGGAGAUACCUUCUUGUCCUACAAAAUACAUACAUGGCUAAGGCAUUGACAUGUUUUUCAUGAUGUUUCCAUCACCCUUCCU